CGAAGCCUGACGGAGCAAUACCGCGUGAGGGAAGAAGGCUUUUGGGUUGUAAACCUCUUUUGUCAGGGAAGAAGAAUUGACGGUACCUGAAGAAAAAGCAUCGGCUAACUCCGUGCCAGCAGCCGCGGUGAUACGGAGGAUGCAAGCGUUAUCCGGAAUCAUUGGGCGUAAAGGGUCCGCAGGUGGCGAAUAAAGUCUGCUGUUAAAGACCGGGGCUAAACUCCGGAAAGGCAGUGGAAACUGAUUAGCUAGAGUACGGUAGGGGUAGAGGGAAUUCCCAGUGUAGCGGUGAAAUGCGUAGAUAUUGGGAAGAACACCGGUGGCGAAAGCGCUCUACUAGGCCGAAACUGACACUGAGGGACGAAAGCUAGGGUAGCGAAAGGGAUUAGAUACCCCUGUAGUCUUAGCGGUAAACGAUGGAUACUAGGUGUAGCUUGUAUCGACCCGAGCUGUGCCGAAGCUAACGCGAUAAGUAUCCCGCCUGGGGAGUACGCACGCAAGUGUGAAACUCAAAGGAAUUGACGGGGGCCCGCACAAGCGGUGGAGUAUGUGGUUUAAUUCGAUGCAACGCGAAGAACCUUACCAGGGCUUGACAUGUCGCGAAUCUAGCGGAAACGUUAGAGUGCCUUAGGGAAUGCGAACACAGGUGGUGCAUGGCUGUCGUCAGCUCGUGUCGUGAGAUGUUGGGUUAAGUCCCGCAACGAGCGCAACCCUCGUCCUUAGUUGCCAAUAUUAAGUUAGGCACUCUAGGGAGACUGCCGGGGACAACUCGGAGGAAGGUGGGGAUGACGUCAAGUCAGCAUGCCCCUUACGUCCUGGGCGACACACGUACUACAAUGGUUGGGACAAAGGGCAGCAAGCUCGCGAGAGUAAGCGAAUCUCAUCAAACCCAGCCACAGUUCAGAUUGCAGGCUGCAACUCGCCUGCAUGAAGUAGGAAUCGCUAGUAAUCGCAGGUCAGCAUACUGCGGUGAAUUCGUUCCCGGGCCUUGUACACACCGCCCGUCACACCAUGGAAGCUGGCUACGCCCGAAGUCGUUACCCUAACCCGGUUUUGGGAGGGGGAUGCCGAAGGUAGAGCUAGUGACUGGGGUGAAGUCGUAACAAGGUAGCCGUACCGGAAGGUGUGGCUGGAUCACCUCCUUU
This 1145-nucleotide ribosomal RNA is filed under the name uncultured cyanobacterium. RNAcentral's name for it is "bacterial SSU rRNA". It matches the Rfam family "Bacterial small subunit ribosomal RNA", at positions 377 to 1533 of the family's 1533-position model. The record is from RNAcentral. Lineage: Bacteria; Bacillati; Cyanobacteriota.